Small nucleolar RNA from Hemicordylus capensis (graceful crag lizard), 65 nucleotides. RefSeq annotates it as small nucleolar RNA SNORD82. The record is from RefSeq and is a predicted model, not a curated record. Lineage: Eukaryota; Metazoa; Chordata; Lepidosauria; Squamata; Cordylidae. The transcript has a single exon.
AGCACAAAUGAUGAGUAUUGGGACUUAAUACUGAGUUUGUGAUGUCUCAAUGUGAGCUGAAGUGU